AUGGGCCCAGUAAAGAGUUUGGGAACCGAUGGAAUCGUUUAUGUUUCGACGGAGAGGAAAAGAAUUAUGAACUGUGGGAAAGCAAAGUUCCUGGCACAUUUGCAUCUUCUGGGUUUGAAAUCCAUCAUAUUGGGUGAAGCCUCGGCCGUGGAUGAUGAGGGUGCAGAGGAGGAAGACGACAGUAAAAAUGAAGAGGCAUAUGCAGUUCUGAUCCAAUUAUUAGAUGACAAGAGUAUGUCGCUUGUGAUGAGAGAGGCUGCGGAUGAUGGCAGAAAGGCAUUACAGAUUUUGAGAAAUCACUACGCUGGUAAGGGGAAGCCACGUGUGAUAAGUUUGUAUACGGAGUUGACAUCUCUUCAGAAAGGUGUAAAUGAAACCGUUACAGAUUACAUUAUUCGUGCAGAGACUGCAAUUACAGCAUUGCGGAAUGCGGGAGAGACUUUGAGCGAUGAUUUAUUGACUGCCAUGAUUCUAAAGGGUUUGCCCGAUACUUUCAAACCAUUCUCUAUUUUUAUUACACAGAGUGAUGAAAAACUAACAUUUGCUGACUUUAAAGCAAAACUGAGAAGCUAUGAAAGCACAGAGAAGUUAGGCUUUGCUAGUUCGGGAGAGGACAGCAUAAUGAAAAUUAAAGGAAGGGACAAUUGGUGUAUGAGACUCACCUGUUACAAUUGCGGCCAGAAGGGUCACAAAGCCGCGGAGUGCACGGUGGUUGCUGGGGAGCGCGGGGAACGGAGACAAUGGUGUAGUUUCUGUAAAAGCACCUCACAUAAAGACGUGCACUGUCGUCGAAGAAAGCGGGAUAAAGUGAAGCAAACUGUGGACGAAGAGGAGGAUCACACAUUUGCGUUUAUGGUGGAGCAGGUGAAUAAAGUCCCGGUUGGUGGAGUGGAAAUGAAAGGUCUCAUGGUGGAUUCUGGAGCUACUAAACAUAUCGUUACAGACAUUGAGAAGUUCGUGGAUUUCGAUUUAAGUUUCAAGCCACAGAGCCACAUUCUGGAGCUGGCUGAUGGAGAACGGGCCAGUGGAAUCGCGUUGAAGAAGGGUACCGCUAAAUUGCGUUUGAGAAAUAGCAAUGGUCGCAUAGUGGACAUGAUGUUGACGGAGGCACUUUAUGUGCCAUCAUUUUCUCAAGACAUCUUUUCUGUGAAAGCGGCAAUUUCACACGGAGCAACAGUAAUCUUCAAAGAGGGACAGAACCGACUCAUUCACAAAAAUGGUACAACUUUUGAUAUUCAUAUGUAUGAUAGACUGUUUUAUUUGAGUACUGUUGCUAAUGAGAUUGAUGAGUGUAACGCGUGCUAUGAUAUUCAGACAUGGCAUGAAAUACUGGGUCAUUGUAAUUAUGAUGAUGUGUUAAAGUUGGAGAAUGUUACAGAAGGGAUGAAAAUUAGAGGUAAAAUUGACAGAUCCAAUUUGAAAUGUGAAGUGUGUGUAAAAGGCAAAUUUGCUCAGCACAGAAAUAGAGAUCUAGAUGAGAAAGCAAAAGAUGUAUUUGCACUUGUUCAUGCAGAUCUGGCUGGUCCUAUAGAACCAGCAGGAAAAGAUGGUUUCAGAUUUGCCUUAGCAUUCACAGAUGACUAUUCAGGAGCUGUGUUUACCUAUUUUUUGAAGAACAAAAGUGACACUGCCGUAGCCACUGAGAAAUUCAUUGCUGAUGUUGCACCAUAUGGUAAGAUUACAUGUAUAAGAUCAGAUAAUGGAACAGAAUUUACAUCUUCCGUAUUUCAGUCAUUGCUCAGCAAGAAUGCUAUUAGACAUGAAACCUCAGCUCCUUAUUCACCCCAUCAAAAUGGGACAGCUGAAAGAGCUUGGAGGACUUUGUUUGAAAUGGCAAGAUGUAUGCUAAUUGAGAGUAAAUUACCAAAGGAGUUGUGGACAUAUGCGGUACAAACCGCUGCUAUAAUUAGAAACAGAUGUUAUAAUAGACGUCUGGGACAAACUCCAUACUACCUGAUAACUGGAAAAAAGCCUGAUCUAUCCAAAAUGAGAGUGUUUGGGUUAGAGUGUUAUGCGUACAAGUAUGACAAGAAAAAGUUGGAUGCUGUCACGGUGUCUGUUCUGUGUCUCCCUGGGUGGCCACUAGAGGUCUCACUUCCCCUUAUUGUCACCUUCGUCAGAACUACAUUUCCCACUAGCCUUAUCUGUUCAUCACUGCUUAUUGGGUUCAGCUGUCACCACUUACCUGGUUUGCACCUGUCUUUAAAUACCCUGGUUGUUUCUGUCAUGAUUACGGAGUCCUUGUUUGAUGUCACCCUGCUAUUCCCUGGUCCCUUGUUGAUGUUCGUGUUUCAUGUUUUGGACUGCUUAUCUGGAUGUUGA
Molecule: long non-coding RNA, 2322 nt
Organism: Cyprinus carpio (common carp)
Lineage: Eukaryota; Metazoa; Chordata; Actinopteri; Cypriniformes; Cyprinidae
Source: Ensembl